Molecule: long non-coding RNA, 1631 nt
Filed under: Homo sapiens (human)
Lineage: Eukaryota; Metazoa; Chordata; Mammalia; Primates; Hominidae
Description: PREDICTED lncRNA (TCONS_00181428)
Source: RNAcentral
CGCUGCUGUCACCCCGGCCGCGCCCCCCAACUUUCUGCACAGUCGCGGAGCUGGAAGUUUCCGGGCUUCGCGGACACGCUGGGCUGGGUUUCAGUCGCGGCUCCGAGGUUGGCAACAAAGAGGGAAAGAAGGAGGAAAAGCAGGCCGGGGAGGGGAGGAAGAGAACCGCGCGGAGGCCGCGGCGCCGAGAGCCCCAGAACUUCCAAUUCUACCCAGAAGCUUUUUUCGUCGUGUUUUUCUCUUAGACAUGAUCCUCUCUGAGGUUGGUCCUGGGCUUCCAUACGUGAUUCAUGGAAGAGGUCUCAGCCCCAAGAGCCCCUGAGGGUACUGUCCACUCCCCCUGGAAACUUCCAGAACCUGACGUGGGGCUGAAGACAUAGAGGCUCUGAGAGUUACAUAAUUGAUUCUGACUUUGGCUGUUGGUCAACAGUGUCAUAAGGUAAAAUAAGGCUGUUGUAGAAUCUGCUCAGCCAGGGAGGGGAAAGGAGUCGGCAAUCAGGUCUCCUCCUGGGCACCUUUGUGAGGCCAGCUGGCGAGAGUGGGGGGUGACACUGAGGUCCCAGCAGCUCCAAAUGCAGGCAGAGCCCUGUCCUCAGAGAAGGUCACAGCCUAGCCAAGCCCAGCCAGGUGGAUGGGCCCACGGAACGCACAGGAACCUGGAACGGAGGUUGAAAGCAGGAAGCACAGUCUGUGACUCCCCAGCCCACUCUGCAUUCGACCACUUGGGGCCCAGAAGCUUCAGGAAAGGUGCACAAGGUCACUGGGUCCCAGUACUCCCAACAGGAAGGUCUGGUCCAGGGACAGGGCUCUUCCCGACUCCCCUUAGCCACACGCACCAGAAGUUCUGCAGUGCCCAGUGGGCAUAGCAGUCCCCAAGAAUGACCCAGCACUGAAGCUGAGCCAAAGAACUUGGGGAGCGAGCCACACCCCCUCACUCCCUCUUCGCCUGCUCCAGACUUGCCAGGCGGUUGCUUUUCGUGGGAACCGGGAUGUCCUCACCACCCUGUCCAGGGCCCAGCCCCAUGUCCCUGGCCUGCUACAGCUGGAAAAAAAAAAGAGAGAUGUUUGUUUUUAUUUGUUUAUAAAAAGAAAAGUGUUAUAUAUAUAACAUAUUAUACCUCAUGAAUACAUACAAUUAUUUGUCAAUUAACAAUAAAGAAAAAUACAGCAAGCAAAAAAGACUCUCUUCCACAAAAAUAGUGUUCAUUACAGAAAAGUACAAAAAAAAAAAAAAAAAACUAAGAGGAUAUUUAGAAUUAAGAAAAAACUAAGAGGGUAUUUAGAAUUAAAAAAUAAAAAGAAAACAAUUACCCAUGAGGUAAUUACUGAAUGCAUUUGGUUGAAAGUCCUUCUGCUAUAUUUUCCAAACUGUAUGUGUAUAUAUGUGCGCAUGCAUAUAUGUGUUUGUGUGUGUGUACACAUAUCUAUAUGAAUGGACCAUAUCGUAAGUUAUAAAUGCAUACAUAUAUUCAUGUAUAUAUAAUCAUUAGAUCAUACUAUAGGUUAUUUUACAGUCUUUUUGUUGAAUACGUUGUGAGCAUUUUAUGUCAUUAUUUUCUACAAGAUUUGAAAAAUAAAGUAUAAAUACCAGUUAAUUUUUGAAAUCAACCUUAUUAAGGAAUAAGUUCCAU